AGUUUAGGAGAAAGAGUUGGAGAAGCUGCAAGACAAAAUGAAGAUCAAAGAAAAGAAGUCAUGAGUGUUUCCACAGACCUGCUGCAUGAAUUAAAAGCAUUUGGAGACGUUGCAUCACAGCAACGGGCUCGGCUAGAGGAAAUCCAAACAACAAUGACAGCACUCGCUAAAGCACGGGAACAUAUGAGGCAGGAAAGGGAGAACUUUUCAUUGGAGGCUGCGGAAAUGGAAAAAGCACUCAAGGAAGCAGAAGCUCUCUUGUAAAAGAGUUUUGAGUUUUAAAAAAGUGUAUAUUUAUGUAAAAUGUGUGUUGAGUGUGAAACUAAAUAAAGUAUUCUCUUCUUCAUG
Molecule: long non-coding RNA, 348 nt
Organism: Micropterus salmoides (largemouth bass)
Lineage: Eukaryota; Metazoa; Chordata; Actinopteri; Centrarchiformes; Centrarchidae
Exons: 3
Source: RefSeq, a predicted model, not a curated record